UNGUGAUGUUUCAUAAGAAAGUAAAACUGC
This 30-nucleotide non-coding RNA is filed under the name Mus musculus (house mouse). The record is from RNAcentral. Lineage: Eukaryota; Metazoa; Chordata; Mammalia; Rodentia; Muridae.